GGAGCUGCCAAGGCUCUGGAGGUGGCUGCUGAGGCACUUGUUUUAUAAAUCUUACUUGCUCACUUAUUACAUACUCGUUUGCUUACGUAUCCAUCAUCUAAUAACUGAGAAACACUGUAACAACAGCUACAAUUUGAACAAUGGUGCGAAUACAUUGUUUUUAAGGACGUCUUCACAGUAGAAACUUCCAAGCAACUUUAUAAAUAUCUAUUGAAAGAAUGCAAAAACUUCCCAAAGAAUCUCAGUCUUAUUAUCUCCACACUAUAAGACAGGGCUUUAAUCAACAUUCUGAUGAAACGGAUCCAGAACGAAUAUCUCAGAUCAUACAUCGGGCAGUGGAAGAUUCAAGGUGGAUUGUGAAGAAGUACUCCAAAGCCCAAGAGUAAACCAUUGAGGAAGA
This is a long non-coding RNA of Homarus americanus (American lobster), 400 nucleotides long. RefSeq lists it as uncharacterized. The record is from RefSeq and is a predicted model, not a curated record. Lineage: Eukaryota; Metazoa; Arthropoda; Malacostraca; Decapoda; Nephropidae. The transcript is spliced from 3 exons.